This is a non-coding RNA of Cinara cedri, 224 nucleotides long. The record is from the annotation of a GenBank genome assembly. NCBI's taxonomy places the organism in Eukaryota, Metazoa, Arthropoda, Insecta, Hemiptera, Aphididae.
UCUUGGACUUCAACAUGUUUAUUGUAAGUCAAAUCGCGCAGGUAUAUCAAAGGUCAUAAUUGAGGGCGGAAAGGGGAUAGGGGAUUACCAGUGGUGUACGUUCGAACAUGAAAAUACGAGUGUUUACAGUGUCCCGUGAAUAUAUAUAUAUACCCAUCGCGAUAUCUCCUGGGUUAAUAAAGAUAGUAAAAUUCGAUCGUUUAACUUGAAAUAUAACUCAAAGA